GAACUAUAUAAGGAAGGUGGGAUGAAGACAUGGUUACACAACAGCUUGGCUAAGGGAUAUGUUUAACAGGGUGAAAGAUAGUUUGAUGAGACAAAGGGAAGUUGCUCCGCCGAGAGAGAACUUUAUGACGGUGCCACACAAUCUAGCAAGGCUGAAUUGUGUGAAAGAGGUAGCUAGAAAGAGUGAAAGGAGGCUAGCGUAUGAAAGGAAUUUAGCCCUAUUUGGUGCCCUAAGAAAUGAAAAGGAUAAGCGUGAGCAGAACAAACGGAAGGGGAUUUACAAAAUUCCUUUAGUGGAUAAUGUUACCGAGGAGCGGCUGGCGUAUAUA
Molecule: long non-coding RNA, 328 nt
Filed under: Androctonus crassicauda
Lineage: Eukaryota; Metazoa; Arthropoda; Arachnida; Scorpiones; Buthidae
Source: RNAcentral